GACCGGGCUUCAAUAUUUAAACAAACAAAACAAACAUAUUAUGCACUAUGUAACUUAUGCUGGUCUAUAUGCUAUAGUGUUGCACUGCAUGCAAUUUGGGAUACUUUCUGUUAUUCUUGUAUAAUGUGUUUAUUUUGUGCUUCAUCGUCGUCUUCGCUUAGUUACCUUAUAAA
RNAcentral lists this ribosomal RNA (173 nucleotides) under uncultured eukaryote. Its description in RNAcentral is "partial 18S ribosomal RNA". The record is from RNAcentral.